CCUACGGGUGGCAGCAGUGAGGAAUAUUGGUCAAUGGACGCAAGUCUGAACCAGCCAUGCCGCGUGCAGGAAGACGGCUCUAUGAGUUGUAAACUGCUUUUGUACGAGGGUAAACGCAGAUACGCGUAUCUGUCUGAAAGUAUCGUACGAAUAAGGAUCGGCUAACUCCGUGCCAGCAGCCGCGGUAAUACGGAGGAUUCAAGCGUUAUCCGGAUUUAUUGGGGUUAAAGGGUGCGUAGGUGGUCGGAUAAGUUAGAGGUGAAAUCCCGAGGCUCAACUUCGGAAUUGCCUCUGAUACUGUUAGGCUAGAGAGUAGUAGCGGUAGGCGGAAUGUAUGGUGUAGCGGUGAAAUGCGUAGAGAUCAUACAGAACACCGGUUGCGAAGGCAGCUUACCAAGCUACUUCUGACGUUGAGGCACGAAAGCGUGGGGAGCAAACAGGAUUAGAUACCCUGGUAGUC
Molecule: ribosomal RNA, 460 nt
Filed under: uncultured bacterium
Lineage: Bacteria
Description: partial 16S ribosomal RNA
Rfam family: Bacterial small subunit ribosomal RNA
Source: RNAcentral